RNAcentral lists this ribosomal RNA (253 nucleotides) under uncultured bacterium. RNAcentral's name for it is "partial 16S ribosomal RNA". It matches the Rfam family "Bacterial small subunit ribosomal RNA", at positions 524 to 776 of the family's 1533-position model. The record is from RNAcentral.
UACGUAGGGGGCAAGCGUUGUCCGGAUUUAUUGGGCGUAAAGAGCGUGUAGGCGGCCAUACAGGUCAGCUGUGAAAACUCGAGGCUCAACCUCGAGACGUCGGUUGAAACCGUAUGGCUAGAGUCCGGAAGAGGAGAGUGGAAUUCCCGGUGUAGCGGUGAAAUGCGCAGAUAUCGGGAAGAACACCGGUGGCGAAGGCGGGUCUCUGGGCCAUUACUGACGCUGAGGAGCGAAAGCGUGGGGAGCGAACAGG